UCUCCGUUGGUGAACCAGCGGAGGGAUCAUUAUAGAGUUUUCUAAACUCCCAACCCAUGUGAACUUACCAUUGUUGCCUCGGCAGAAGCUGCUCGGUGCACCCUACCUUGGAACGGCCUACCCUGUAGCGCCUUACCCUGGAACGGCUUACCCUGUAGCGCCCCGCCGGUGGAUUUUCAAACUCUUGUUAUUUUUAGUAAUCUGAGCGUCUUAUUUUAAAUAAGUCAAAACUUUCAACAACGGAUCUCUUGGUUCUGGCAUCGAUGAAGAACGCAGC
RNAcentral lists this unclassified non-coding RNA (277 nucleotides) under uncultured fungus. Its description in RNAcentral is "sequence contains ITS1, 5.8S rRNA gene". The stretch from base 229 to 277 matches the Rfam family "5.8S ribosomal RNA", at positions 1 to 49 of the family's 154-position model. Lineage: Eukaryota; Fungi. The record is from RNAcentral.